Molecule: ribosomal RNA, 253 nt
Filed under: uncultured bacterium
Lineage: Bacteria
Description: partial 16S ribosomal RNA
Rfam family: Bacterial small subunit ribosomal RNA
Source: RNAcentral
UACAGAGGGUGCGAGCGUUGUUCGGAAUUACUGGGCGUAAAGCGAGUGUAGGCGGUCUGCUAAGUCGGGUGUGAAAGCCCUGGGCUCAACCCAGGAAGUGCACUCGAAACUGGCGGGCUAGAGUAUCGGAGAGGUUGGUGGAAUUCUCGGUGUAGAGGUGAAAUUCGUAGAUAUCGAGAGGAACACCGGUGGCGAAGGCGGCCAACUGGACGAAUACUGACGCUGAGACUCGAAAGCGUGGGGAUCAAACAGG